UGCUGCCGUGCUCCCUCCUUGAUGGUAAUGGUGUCUCUUCACAGCAGUAAAACCCUACCUAAGACAGACCCUCAGACAAGCAUUCAUAUGCACUCAUAAAGACUCCUGAGAAAAGCUUUUCCAUCCAUUAGCCAGGGUCAUUUAUUAAGGAAGAAAAGUCUCACGUUGUACACGAAGCCACUAUGAUUAUCACUGGACUUUAGGAAAACAAGCAAAAGCCUGUGUGGAGAUAAUAAAUGAUAGAGGAGAUGCGGUGGCUUAGAAGAGACUGAAGGACUCUUGCUGCUCUUCCAGAGGAACUGAGUUCAGUUCACAGCACCCACAACAGAUGGCUCCCAAGCAGCCGCAACUCCAGCUCCAGGGGAUCCUACUCCAUUUUCUAGACUCCAGGGGCAUCUGCACUCACAGGCAUGCAUGUGGACAUAUGCACACAAUUAACAAUGACUCUUAAUAAAAGUAAUA
Molecule: small RNA, 462 nt
Filed under: Rattus norvegicus (Norway rat)
Lineage: Eukaryota; Metazoa; Chordata; Mammalia; Rodentia; Muridae
Description: uncharacterized LOC102556145
Source: RNAcentral